RNAcentral lists this ribosomal RNA (253 nucleotides) under uncultured bacterium. RNAcentral describes it as "partial 16S ribosomal RNA". It matches the Rfam family "Bacterial small subunit ribosomal RNA", at positions 524 to 776 of the family's 1533-position model. The record is from RNAcentral.
UACAGAGGGUGCGAGCGUUGUCCGGAAUCACUGGGCGUAAAGCGCGCGUAGGUGGCCCCAUAAGUCCGCUGUGAAAGUCAAAGGCUCAACCUUUGAAAGCCGGUGGAUACUGUGGGACUAGAGUACGGAAGAGGCGAGUGGAAUUCCUGGUGUAGCGGUGGAAUGCGCAGAUAUCAGGAGGAACACCAAUAGCGAAGGCAGCUCGCUGGGACGUUACUGACACUGAGGCGCGAAAGCGUGGGGAGCGAACAGG